UACGUAGGGUGCGAGCGUUGUCCGGAAUUAUUGGGCGUAAAGAGCUCGUAGGCGGUUCGUCGCGUCGGCCGUGAAAUCCCGAGGCUCAACCUCGGGUCUGCAGUCGAUACGGGCGGACUGGAGUUCGGCAGGGGAGACUGGAAUUCCUGGUGUAGCGGUGAAAUGCGCAGAUAUCAGGAGGAACACCGGUGGCGAAGGCGGGUCUCUGGGCCGAUACUGACGCUGAGGAGCGAAAGCGUGGGGAGCGAACAGG
This 253-nucleotide ribosomal RNA is filed under the name uncultured bacterium. Its description in RNAcentral is "partial 16S ribosomal RNA". It matches the Rfam family "Bacterial small subunit ribosomal RNA", at positions 524 to 776 of the family's 1533-position model. The record is from RNAcentral.